This 201-nucleotide ribosomal RNA is filed under the name uncultured prokaryote. Its description in RNAcentral is "partial 16S ribosomal RNA". It matches the Rfam family "Bacterial small subunit ribosomal RNA", at positions 524 to 724 of the family's 1533-position model. The record is from RNAcentral.
UACGUAGGGGGCAAGCGUUAUCCGGAUUUACUGGGCGUAAAGGGCGCGUAGGCGGCUCGCGAGGUCGGGGGUGAAAUCCCACGGCUUAACCGUGGAAGGGCCUUCGAUACCGGCGGGCUGGAGGAAGGUAGGGGUGCGUGGAACUUCUAGUGGAGCGGUGAAAUGCGUUGAUAUCAGAAGGAACGCCGGCGGCGAAAGCGA